GGCCCUGCUCUCACUGGAUGAGCAGAUCGCCUGUGACAGGGAGCAGCUCUUGUGAGGUCGGGGGCACCGUGGCACUCAGACCGAACAAAAGUCGGCACCAACCUCAUAAAGACAGAGAGCUGGAUGAGAAGGCUGGCGGGUGCUUCGGGCUGCUGUUCCUUUGACUUGCCUGGAGCGUCACUGAGGUUGUAAAUUCAUCUGGGCAGAGAUGAUCAUCAGACUCGGGCGAUUGACCCCUGGCUACUUCCGUCUCCUCCAGGGUCAGGUGUCGGGUGAGGUCCGGAUGCAGCCACACAGCGGUCUCAUGGAUCCCAUUGCCAUGACAAUGGCGGCGGUGGGGAUGUGCGUCAGCGUUUACAGCGCCAGGCAGCUGAAGCAAAGACACGCCUGACGUGAGCACCUGGGAUGGACAGUGUGUGAGCGACAGGAAGUUUGUGAAAGUGAAGAUGGAGUCUGAGGAAGUCGACACAGUGUUGGCGCAUGAGUCUGAUUUAGAAGGAAAUUGGUUUGGCAAAAGUCACAAUGCAGGAUCCAGCGAGAAGAUUCCGUCAUGAAUUUUCCUGCUUGCAUCUCCCACAUGUAUUUAGCUUAGCGAACGUACUGAUCACUUUUACUGAUCACUUUGACUGAUCACACUUACACAUGAUCUUAUUAUGAUACUGUUCCAUUUCAAUAACUACUGCAGUACUUCUUAAUUCAGGUGAAUUGAGUGUUCUUCCACACUGAAGUGAAGUGAAUGAAAUUACAAUAUUUCACAUCGAUUCUCUGACAUCUGAAAUAAAACGUGUUUUUUAUUAGUUUUAUGAUGUUCUUUAAGUAUGAGCCAAUAUUGAUUUCAGUGAUGACUUUUUGGGUCACUCUUCAUUGUAACUUUCCAAAAUAAUUGUACUUGAAUGGUCAGGUGUGAUGAAGAAAGAGCUGAGCCAAAAGGCAACACUCCCCAUUUCUACGUUCCCAUUCUCACCAAAGAUUUAGGUUGGAGAUUGGUUUACACCUCCACCAAGUCUGUGUUCAAAAUAGCUUGAAAAGUAGUGGAGUUAUGGAGUUAGUUUAUUGCUCUGGAGUCUCUUCACCGUCACAUAGAAAUCAAAUAAAACAUCUCCCGAUUUAAAAUCACUGAGUGCAUGAUGUAAUAAGAUUUACACAGAAGAAAAGGUGCAUCUUUGUUUUCGUUUUUGUACUAUGUUCUUGUUCUACAACACUGUGUGAACAGUGUUCUGAAAUGUGCUACAUAAAUAAAGUUUUAUUUGAAUUUAUCUUUGUCAGUUGGUCAGCAGUCCAGGCUUUACUCACUGGCACAAAUGACGGAGCUCGUUCCUGAUGUCAAGUGACAGAAAAACAUUUCCAGAAUCACUUAUGAGAUUUGUAUUUCACAGGCGCUUCAUUUUUAACGCUCAUGUCAACCAAACAAAUAACAGGAACGAUGACUUUUGACUGUUUGCGCUAAUGUCACGCAGUAACCCCACCCCCUUUAGUGACAUGCACUUGUGGCCAUCACCCAAAGGUCCUCUGGAGAGAGGCCCUCAGAGAUGAGGUGGCAGAGUUGAAGGGCCGGGGCUGUGUGGAUAAAGAUCUCUCUUGGAAUGGUAAU
Synchiropus splendidus (mandarinfish) is the source of this 1591-nucleotide long non-coding RNA. RefSeq lists it as uncharacterized. NCBI's taxonomy places the organism in Eukaryota, Metazoa, Chordata, Actinopteri, Syngnathiformes, Callionymidae. The transcript has 3 exons. The record is from RefSeq and is a predicted model, not a curated record.